CCUACGGGAGGCAGCAGUCGAGAAUCAUUCACAAUGGGGGAAACCCUGAUGGUGCGACGCCGCGUGGGGGAAUGAAGGUCUUCGGAUUGUAAACCCCUGUCAUGUGGGAGCAAAUUAAAAAGAUAGUACCACAAGAGGAAGAGACGGCUAACUCUGUGCCAGCAGCCGCGGGAAUACAGAGGUCUCAAGCGUUGUUCGGAAUCAUUGGGCGUAAAGCGUGCGUAGGCGGUUUCGUAAGUCGUGUGUGAAAGGCGCGGGCUCAACCCGCGGACGGCACAUAAUACUGCGAGACUAGAGUAAUGGAGGGGGAACCGGAAUUCUCGGUGUAGCAGUGAAAUGCGUAGAUAUCGAGAGGAACACUCGUGGCGAAGGCGGGUUCCUGGACAUUAACUGACGCUGAGGCACGAAGGCCAGGGGAGCGAAAGGGAUUAGAUACCCUUGUAGUC
This 446-nucleotide ribosomal RNA is filed under the name uncultured bacterium. RNAcentral describes it as "partial 16S ribosomal RNA". It matches the Rfam family "Bacterial small subunit ribosomal RNA", at positions 338 to 795 of the family's 1533-position model. The record is from RNAcentral.